GACUCUGUGGCGCAAUGGUAGCGCGUCUGACUCGAGAUCAGAAGGUUGCGAGUUCGAAUCACGUCAGGGUCA
RNAcentral lists this transfer RNA (72 nucleotides) under Saccoglossus kowalevskii. RNAcentral's name for it is "tRNA-Ser". It matches the Rfam family "tRNA". Rfam says of the family: Transfer RNA (tRNA) molecules are approximately 80 nucleotides in length. Their secondary structure includes four short double-helical elements and three loops (D, anti-codon, and T loops). Lineage: Eukaryota; Metazoa; Hemichordata; Enteropneusta; Harrimaniidae. The record is from RNAcentral.